GCAGUGGGAGGGGAGAGUCUUAAAGGGCCCUCGCCGGCGCGCGGCCGCCGCCUCGGCCUUCACCGCUCUCCGUACUCCUCCCUUCUCCCCCCACCCGGACCCCACUGCGCUGUCCUCGCCUCGAGGUCUCUCUGGGGACCGGACUUCUCCGGGACCCUGGGCUGUGCGCACUCUCCUUGGGCUUUCCUGUCUACAUCUCCUCUCUCCCUCUCCACCGCUGGGGAGUGGUGUUGGCUGGGGGCUGUCACCCCGUAAGGCGGCAUUGGGGUAGGGCAGGAGCGCCUGGAGCCAGCUCCGGCACAGUGGAGUCCGAGUCUCUCCCAAAGGUCGCCUGGGGGCUGGCCAAGCCUCCGGACCCUGGGUCCUUCUCAGGCGCAGCUCUGGCCGCUCUCCUUCCCAAUUCGAUUUGGCCUUUCCCGGGUGUGUUCACUUGAAGCUUCGGAGGCAUCCACUGUUCUCGGGGCGCGAUGUGGGUCGCUCAAAGACUGCAAGUUUGAGGACUCCCUUCCGGGGUGAGAUAGUCUUGGUGAGGUGCGGUACGCCGGGCUGUGCGCACCUCUCGGACGCGCUGGGAGCGCAGUGUCUUCGCUGAUUUAUAGGUUCGGUGUUUGGGUGUGUUUCGGGUUUCUUGUUCAGUCCUGUUUGAAGGUGUAAAGUUUCCUCAAUGUACCGCACCCUACUGUUGUUUGGGGGGAAACCUGGGGUCAUGGGAGAGGCCAGUAUCCCAGAGCAGGUGAGGAUUUCUCUAAGCAUGGCAGAACGACACUGACUCCAGAGAUACACCUCUUAUUUUUCCCCCAAGCAGGGGAAAAUGCACUAGCUUUCCCCAGGAAAAUUUAAAAACUUUUUAUUAAAAAUAACAAUACCCUCCUCGAUUUCCCGCGCCUUUUGGAUAAAAUAUGCAUUGCCAGCUUUUCUCUUGGUAGAGAUUUUACGUAGUCAUCGUCCUGACGUUAAAGUUCCGUGUCUGCCGCUCAUCAGAAGGUGAAGUUGGUCUUCCGGAGUGACCACUUCUCCGUGCUCUAAGCGGCCAGUGGAGGCGCGCUGGUGUCACCAUCUCAUUUGGAUACCACUUUCCCAAGUUCCAGUCCAUCACUCUAUUGUCAGGCCUGUCACUCCAGGCAUAUUGCUCUGGGAUUACCCAUUCCUGACUCUGCGUGCUGACCAACGCCUUGGGACAACAGGAGAACCCGAGACGGGGUGCUUAAUAAACAGCAAGUUCUCUUCUCAUCCUCAAGCAAGCUGAAGAAAUGAGGAAUAGAAAGGAGAGUCACCUAAAGUCACAGGACACUAAGAGGCUUAAUAUCUUUCAGCAGACCAGCAAUUACCGCCUUGGCCAGGAGCCCUGAUUUAGCAUUCCCCACUCAGAGCACCCAGAGGUACUUCCUCAGGCUGCCUGGUUCCUGGGCUUCAGAUACAGCCUGGGGCAUGAGAGGUUCACCAAGGACCUGUGGGAGCAAACAGAAGAAAGCCAGGCCAGCCAGCCUUGCAGGAAGCCUGCUCCGCAAAUGACUCAAGGGGCUCCCUCUUCUGCGUUCUCAGGGCUCCUGUCAUGUUCUGCUAUUACACUUAUCCCAGGGCAACUGCCUGUAUUUGUUUACUUGUCUGAUCUCCUGCUGGAUGCUUCCUUGUUUCCUCAUCCUCUCUGAGUUCUUAUUGCCCGAGUGUUUAACCAUCACUGCAGAAGCCAGCACGGAGCCACAGCACCCUUCUAAACACUUUGUAGGCAUUCUCUCAUUCCAUCCCUACAGAAACCCCAAGAGGUAGGUCUAACCAUCACCCCAUUUUAGGGAGGUGGAAAUAGAAGCACAGAGGGGUUUUGCAACUUGCUCUAGGUUCAAGCUGUUUUGCUUCGAGAUGGGGCUGGGGUGUGAAUUCAGGCAGCUUCAGUGCAAUAAGUGUCCAAGGAAUGUUUGUUAAUGAAUGAAUAUUACAUUUACCCAAAAGGGCUAUUUACUUAUAUCUCAUUUUGUCUCAUUCCAAAAAAUGCAAGGUGGGUGACUGCUUUUAAAAAUGUUGCCUGUAUAACUACACAAAAGUAUCUUUUCCCAAAUGUACUUUGUGUCCCUCAUCUCACAGUGUUUGGAGUUACUUUGGGCAGGUUUUAUUAUUCCUGCUUGACAGAUGAAGAAACAGGCACUAAGAGCUUAGGGGACUGUCACAGGACAAACAGCCAGCUAAGUGAAGAAAGGACCAGGGCUUCUGAACUCCCUUCCUGGUUGUGGCUCUAUUAACUUCUGUCACUGCCCAAUGCCACGUGGAUGGGGAAGUAGAAGGAGGGGGAAUUCACUCUUUUUCAUCCCCCUAGAAUUUCCUUUAAAGAUGUGGUGGGAAGGAAGGACAAAAGGAAAGUAGACUGAAGCUUAUCUUCAAGCCUGUCCUUUUGAUUUGGGUCCUUGAGCAGUGUGCUUUGAAGAGUGGUUUCAUUUAUCUCCUAUCAGUUCCUGGGGAGACAGGCAGGCCUGGGUGAGGGGAAUGCAGUAGGUGGGCUUUUGAAGUUCUCCUCGAUUUGCCUGCCCUGCCCUGAUACAGUCCUAGCCCUGGGCAUUCACCCUUGAUUACUUGUUCUCUUGGGCCUUCAAGUUUCCCAGAGAUUCCUUUUAUAAGUUGCAAAUAUUGCUGGGGGGCAUCUCAACCUUGUUGCCAGCCCACACUUCAGUGGUAGUUAACAGUGAGUGUUCCACCCAUGAUAAUGAUGAUACUUAUUGAGCACUUACUGUAUGCUAGACACCUUGUAAGCACAGGGCCUGUUAUAACUCAUGGAGUUCUCACAGCAAACCAACCAAGUGGGUACCACUGAUGUGCCUAUUUCAUAGA
Molecule: long non-coding RNA, 2817 nt
Organism: Ictidomys tridecemlineatus (thirteen-lined ground squirrel)
Lineage: Eukaryota; Metazoa; Chordata; Mammalia; Rodentia; Sciuridae
Source: RefSeq, a predicted model, not a curated record